UACGUAGGGUGCAAGCGUUAAUCGGAAUUACUGGGCGUAAAGCGUGCGCAGGCGGUUGUGCAAGACCGAUGUGAAAUCCCCGGGCUUAACCUGGGAAUGGCAUUGGUGACUGCACGGCUAGAGUGUGUCAGAGGGGGGUAGAAUUCCACGUGUAGCAGUGAAAUGCGUAGAGAUGUGGAGGAACACCGAUGGCGAAGGCAGCCCCCUGGGGUAACACUGACGCUCAUGCACGGAAGCGUGGGGAGCAAACAGG
This 253-nucleotide ribosomal RNA is filed under the name uncultured bacterium. RNAcentral's name for it is "partial 16S ribosomal RNA". It matches the Rfam family "Bacterial small subunit ribosomal RNA", at positions 524 to 776 of the family's 1533-position model. The record is from RNAcentral.